CCUACGGGUGGCAGCAGUGGGGAAUCUUGCGCAAUGCUCGUAAGAGUGACGCAGCAACGCCGCGUGAAGGAAGCAGGCUUUCGGGUUGUAAACUUCUUUUAAGAGGGAAGAGCAGAAGACGGUACCUCUUGAAUAAGCCACGGCUAACUACGUGCCAGCAGCCGCGGUAAUACGUAGGUGGCAAGCGUUGUCCGGAUUUACUGGGUGUAAAGGGCGUGUAGCCGGGCUGACAAGUCAGAUGUGAAAUUCCGGGGCUCAACCCCGGACCUGCAUUUGAAACUGUUGGUCUUGAGUAUCGGAGAGGCAGGCGGAAUUCCUAGUGUAGCGGUGAAAUGCGUAGAUAUUAGGAGGAACACCAGUGGCGAAGGCGGCCUGCUGGACGACAACUGACGGUGAGGCGCGAAAGCGUGGGGAGCAAACAGGAUUAGAUACCCUAGUAGUC
This 442-nucleotide ribosomal RNA is filed under the name uncultured bacterium. Its description in RNAcentral is "partial 16S ribosomal RNA". It matches the Rfam family "Bacterial small subunit ribosomal RNA", at positions 338 to 795 of the family's 1533-position model. The record is from RNAcentral.